AGAGUUUGAUCAUGGCUCAGGAUGAACGCUAGCGGCAGGCUUAACACAUGCAAGUCGAGGGGCAGCACGGGUAGCAAUACCUGGUGGCGACCGGCGCAAGGGUGCGUAACGCGUGAGCAACAUGCCCUAUACAGGGGGAUAAUCCAGGGAAACUUGGUCUAAUAUCCCAUAGUAUUUAGAGGAGGCAUCUUCUAUAAAUUAAAGCUUCGGUGGUAUAGGAUUGGCUCGCGUGACAUUAGCUAGAUGGUGAGGUAACGGCUCACCAUGGCAAUGAUGUCUAGGGGUUCUGAGAGGAAGGCCCCCCACACUGGGACUGAGACACGGCCCAGACUCCUACGGGAGGCAGCAGUGAGGAAUAUUGGACAAUGGAUGGAAAUCUGAUCCAGCCAUGCCGCGUGCAGGAAGACAGCCCUAUGGGUUGUAAACUGCUUUUAUAUGGGAGCAAUAAGGUCUACGUGUAGACUGAUGAGAGUACCAUAUGAAUAAGCAUCGGCUAACUCCGUGCCAGCAGCCGCGGUAAUACGGAGGAUGCGAGCGUUAU
This 541-nucleotide ribosomal RNA is filed under the name uncultured Bacteroidota bacterium. Its description in RNAcentral is "bacterial SSU rRNA". It matches the Rfam family "Bacterial small subunit ribosomal RNA", at positions 8 to 544 of the family's 1533-position model. The record is from RNAcentral. Lineage: Bacteria; Pseudomonadati; Bacteroidota.